GAUGAACGCUGGCGGCGUGCCUAAUACAUGCAAGUCGAACGCUGGAAAUCUAGCUUGCUAGAUUGAAGGAGUGGCGAACGGGUGAGUAAUACAUAAGCAACCUACCCACGAAGACUGGGAUAAUCUCUGGAAACGGGGACUAAUACCGGAUAGGUAAUCGGAAGGCAUCUUCUGAUUAUUAAAGGUUAAAAACACUGGUGGAUGGGCUUAUGGCGCAUUAGUUAGUUGGUGAGGUAACGGCCCACCAAGACGAUGAUGCGUAGCCGGCCUGAGAGGGUGAACGGCCACAUUGGGACUGAGACACGGCCCAGACUCCUACGGGAGGCAGCAGUAGGGAAGUUUCGGCAAUGGGGGAAACCCUGACCGAGCAACGCCGCGUGAGUGAUGACGGCCUUCGGGUUGUAAAGCUCUGUUGUAAGGGAAGAACGGUAGAUAGAGAAUAUCUAAAUGACGGUACCUGACCAGAAAGCCACGGCUAACUACGUG
RNAcentral lists this ribosomal RNA (486 nucleotides) under uncultured bacterium. RNAcentral's name for it is "partial 16S ribosomal RNA". It matches the Rfam family "Bacterial small subunit ribosomal RNA", at positions 28 to 507 of the family's 1533-position model. The record is from RNAcentral.